Molecule: ribosomal RNA, 568 nt
Filed under: uncultured bacterium
Lineage: Bacteria
Description: bacterial SSU rRNA
Rfam family: Bacterial small subunit ribosomal RNA
Source: RNAcentral
GAUGGCCUUGCGGCCCAUUAGCUAGUUGGCGGGGUAACGGCCCACCAAGGCGAUGAUGGGUAGCCGGUCUGAGAGGGCGAUCGGCCACAUUGGGACUGAGAUACGGCCCAGACUCCUACGGGAGGCAGCAGUAGGGAAUUUUGCGCAAUGGACGAAAGUCUGACGCAGCAACGCCGCGUGAGUGAUGAAGGUCUUCGGAUUGUAAAGCUCUGUUGAGUGGGAAGAACCUUUUGAGGUAUAAUACACCUCGAAACUGACGGUACCAUUCGAGUAAGCACCGGCUAACUACGUGCCAGCAGCCGCGGUAAUACGUAGGGUGCAAGCGUUGUUCGGAUUUACUGGGCGUAAAGGGAGCGUAGGCGGAAUGGUAAGUUGGGAGUGAAAUCCAUGGGCACAACCCGUGGGUUGCUUCCAAUACUGCUUUUCUUGAGUAUGGAAGAGGACGAUGGAACUCCAGGUGUAGCGGUGGAAUGCGUAGAUAUCUGGAAGAACACCAGUUGCGAAGGCGGUCGUCUGGUCCAAUACUGACGCUGAGGCUCGAAAGCUAGGGGAGCAAACAGGAUUAGAU